Molecule: long non-coding RNA, 10406 nt
Organism: Hemicordylus capensis (graceful crag lizard)
Lineage: Eukaryota; Metazoa; Chordata; Lepidosauria; Squamata; Cordylidae
Exons: 3
Source: RefSeq, a predicted model, not a curated record
UGGGGCUCAGUGGGGAGGAGAGCUGGUCUUGUGGUAGCAAGCAUGAAUUGUCCUCUUUGCUAAGCAGGGUCUCUCUUAGUUUACAUUUGGAUGGGUAGCUACAUGUGAGGACUGUCUGCUGGACACACGCGUAACAACGAUCGGGCAAGGGGAGACAGUUGUCUAGGGGCCCCACUGCCUGGAGGGGCCCCCCAGAGGCACCUCACGUGACUCCCCAUUGCCCCCUGCCCAGCCCCAAGGCCCCUCAGCCACUUGCCCUGUUCGCCAUCUCUCCUAAUUGUUCUCCUGGCCUGCAAUGGAAGCAGCAGACAAGCUGCAAAGAGCUCCUUUUCUCCCGCCUCUCAGCUGAUCGGUGGGCUGGCGGGGCUUCCAUGGAGGCCUCCGUGUAGGCCGCAGUGAAGCCUGAACUCGAGUAGGGCCCAAGCAGCCAGGAAGGAGGAGGCAGCCAGAGUAGCCACCACUGUUCUCUGCAGCAGAAGACUCCUUGCUGCCCUGCCCAACCCAGCCCAGCAUUUGCCAGAAUGCAAAGAAACAUGUGUUGCCUUCUGCUUACCUCAGACAAAGAUAAGAGAUUUUGUCAGAAUUUUCCAUGCGCUGCAAAAAAUGCUUUCACACACUGUAGUAAAAUACUGAUAACACAGUAUGAUGCUUCACUGUUCGUGGAGGGCUCCCACAGAGGCAACUCACAUAAGGUAAAACCAUUGACUAGAAAGUGGACCAAAUGCACUUUCUGUUGGAAAUAUUUUUUAGAGAGAAUUCAGAGGAGCUACACAAAAGUCACGCCAAAAAAUGUUUAUCCUGUACUGUGUGGCUGGGAAACUACAUGGUAUUUCCUGUCUUGCUGUGGAAUAAACCCAAGAACUCCAUAGCAAGAUCUCUGUUUGUUAUACCAAUUUCAGGUUUCCUUUGGGGUAUCUAAUCGACUCAGAAAGAGGCAGUCCCCAUAAAGAAUAUUAUCCUGUGUUUAAUUUCCAACAAAACAUUUAACAGAACACAAAUAUCCUGCAAGCUGAGUAGGAACAAAGGAAGCUGCCACAUACUGAGUCAGACCAUAGGUCCAUCUAGUUCAGUAUUGUCUACACAGACUGGCAACGACUUCUCCCAGGUUGCAGGCAGGAGUCUCUCUCAGCCCUAUCUUGGAGAUGCCAGGGAGGGAACUUGGAACCUAGAUGCUCUUCCCAGAGCAGCUCCAUCCCCUAAGGAGAAUAUCUUACAGUGCUCACACAGACUCCCAUUCAAAUGCAAACCAGGACAGACACUGCUUAGCAAAGGGGGCAAUUCAUGCUUAUACCACAAGACCAGCUCUCCACCUUCAUGCUUUGAGUUGUACCCCCAUUUAAGCUGUUUGUGAAGAGACUUUGAUAACUCCCUUCUGAUGUUAUUUAAAUAGCAUGGAAGCCAUUGCAAUAUGCAUCCUUCCUGAACCUUCUUGUUGGAAGCUUCAGGUUAAAAGGGAGAAGCCAAUGAAUCAGGUCCUUCCCAAGCCAGUGACACACCUCUUGUAUGCUAAGGUAAUAUAAGAAGGGGCUCUAGACAGAGAAGGAGAAACACUCUACACAUGCUCAAGAAAUACUUGGCCUCAAACCAGACACUGAAAACAAGUUACAAACAUUAGCACUCUGUUCAGUUAAAUCUUGCAUAUACUAACAGAAUGUUUUGAGGUCUAAGAUACCAGCUUACAAUGUAGGUAUAAACGUUUUAAAAACAAAUUGCCCAAAAUGCAAACAUCAAGAACACCACAGAAGAACAAUCAAGUUCAACACAGAGAUUGCUAUCCAGACUAAUGAAACACUGGUGCAACUGAGAAGCACCAUUGUAACACCAGGCCUUCUGAAGAGUUCCAGACUAACACUGCAUCCAUUCUAGUGUGCAUGUGGGAGAAUUUCAUCAACCUCUCCUUUCCCCAGAAGCCCUCUGUGUCACCUGAAAAUAUGCCCCAAGGGCUGCAUGACCCUCAGGGACAUAUAUUCAGGUGGUACAGUGCACUUUCUGGGGAGGGGAAGGUCAUCAAACAUUGCCCCAACCAUUGAGUCAGCAGUGGAACAGAGUUAGUUCAACUUUUCAGAAGCACUGUUGCUUCUCCUGUUGCACGAAUGCUUCAUUAGUAAGAAUGUCAGCCACGUGCCCCUGGUUCAUUAAAUGGUUUACACAAUGGUAAAUUUAAUCCACAUCUAGAAAGAAGGAUUUGAACUCUGGAUUCAAAAUGAUAUUAAAUUUUUAAAAAAGGAAGAGUAUCAUUCAAUCAAGGUUGAUCACUUUUAAGUUUCAAUUUAUUUCAAACGUAGAGAUUUAGUCAUGACCUUUAACUUUUCACUGAAAUCACUGGCCUUAAAAUGCUUCACUUGUCUGGUUUGCACCUCAAAUACUUAUUUUCCCCCAAUUAUGCUAAAACGAAUGAUAAAGACAAUGAUUCAACAAAGGAUCAUGCUAAAGUAUUUGAAUCAGCAACCCAUAAGACACAGAUCUCACCUUGCUCAACAGGACUGUACCAUAUUAAUGAUACUACCGUGUAAAAGGACAUGUUUAUGCUUUCUAUCAAUGGAGCCUGCUCCAGCUCCUUAAUCCAAACAAAUGCUGUCAUGUGCUUUUGGGUAUCCAUAAUUUAAGCCAGCUGUGAAAGACUGUUUUUUUGCAAGGCAUCCUUUCCAGGACGCUCUGAUGAUUUUGUCACUGCUUGGGGUUUUGGCAUAUCAUCAACAUCCCUCUAAUUCCUCUUCAUGAAAUAUAGCUUGUAACCAGAAUCUUUUUAAGGAACAGGCGAAAGAUCUGAAAGUAUGCCAUGCCAGCCUUCACAAAUGCAAAGUUUCACCUUUAAUCAAAUUAUGUUAUAUUGUGCUAGCUACUUCUAUUGAAAAAGAUCAUGCAAACUGCUAUGAUGGAUCAGUCCAAGAAAUCAAUUUAGCCCAAAAGCCAACAGUGGACAGUGAGAAGCCUGAAGACGAAGAGAGGAAGGACAACAUGGUGAAAGCAGAGCAAGUGAGAAGUAGGGGUUCUACUCCAGUGGCACAGUAUUUGUUUACAUGCAGAAGGUCCCAGGUUCAAUUCCUAGAAUCUCCAGGUAAGGCUAGAAAAGACUGCUGCCUGAAACCCUGGAGAGUUGCUGCCAGUCAGUGUAGACAAUACUGCACAAGAUGGACCAGUGGUCCGACUCAGUAUAAGGCAUGUGCAGAAUCAUCCCCUGCUUGUCUACAACAGCAUUUCCGACCAAGUUACCACGACAUAUUAGUGAGCUGUAGGACACAGGCUGGUGUGCCAUGCUGACUCGCUCCGAGUCAGUUCCAAAAGUAGGGAGUUUAAACUCCCCGCUCUUGAAGCCGACUUUCCCCAUAAUGCACUGGAAAGGGUGUGCCUCUCUUGAUGCAUAAGGGAGCAAGUUUGUUCCAAAAACAAGGAGUUUUAAACUCCCCACUUUUGCACCUGACUCGCUCCCUUACAUACCAGGAGGGAGGUGAGGUUGAAGAAAGAAGGAAGUGAAAACAAACCAACAAUGGCAGUGGCGGUGUGUCUGUGUUAAGGAGGCAAUUGUGCUCCUGAUUGUGGUUGUUUUUUAAAAAAAAUCUAAGUAUACCUUAGGAUGAAAAAAGUUGGCAAACACCAGUCUACAUUAUCUAGUAAUCAAAGAUCUAUUCCCUCUUAGCAUUCUCCUUCCCCAGCAACAGCCAUUUGCUUGAUUUAUCUUAUAUGAUUUUUAACCUUUUUAAAUAUUACAAAACGUGUUGCAAUUAAUUCAAUACAUUAUAUGAGCAGUAUGCAAAAGAGUAUUCUUUUUUGUUGGCAUAGAUCAUUCCUGCCAGAGGAGUCCAAGUUGUAAUGUUUUGAAAGAGUGAAUGAUUUUCUCAGUCCACAACUUCUUUACCAUUCAUGGUACAAAGCUGUAGAAUUUCCCCUCCACUGAGUAAUCUUUUACCUGAACUCAAAUCCACUCAAGCUUGUCUUCAUAUGAAAGACUCCCCACUUUUUGCAGCUGACUCGCUCCCUUGUAUAUAAAUUCAAUAAACAAACAAACAAAUAAAUAAAUAAAUUCCUCCUCAAGCUUCAUUAUGUCCUUUAAAAAGUGGAGGUACCUACAGGUGAAGGCCACCUAAUGGCGCAGCGGGGAAGUAACUUGCCUAGGGAGCAAGAGGUUGCUGGUUCGAAUCCCCGCUGGUAUGUUUCCCAGAUUAUGGGAAACACCUAUAUUGGGCAGCAGCAAUAUAGGAAAAUGCUGAAAGGCAUCAUCUCAUAGUGUGAGGGAGGAGGCAAUGGUAAACGUAAACCCCUCCUUUCUUUCUACCAAAGAAAACCACAGGGCUCUGUGGGCGCCAGGAGUUGGCACCGACUCAACAGCACAAUUUUACUUUACCCACAGGUGCAUAGUAUUAACUUGGCAAAGAGGCACCUUCUAACGUGGUGAUUCUCUUUAUUUAGCAGGGGGAGAGUUACUGGCCCUUAUCCACCCACAGCACAGUACCUCCAGUGACUGUUACUGGUGUCUGUCUUAUGUUUCUUUUAGAUUGUGAGAUCUUUGGGGACAGGGAGCCAUCUUAUUUAUUUAUUAUUUCUAUGUGAAAACCACCCUGAGCCAUUUUUGGAAAGGGGGUAUAGAAAUCAAAUAAAUAAAAACAAUAAUAAUACUAUAAACUGGAAGAAUGGACUCAUAUAGUGGAAUUAUUAAUUACAUUUAUCCCACCCUUCAGAGCAGCAUACAUAGUUCUCCUCCCUAAUUUUAUUCCUACAACAACCCUGUGAGGUAGGUUAGGAUAAGAUAGAAUGUGGCUAUUCCAAGGUCAAUUGGCAACUUUCAUGGCUGAGGGGGGAUUUGAACCUAGGUUUCCCUGUUCCUAUUCCAACAUGUUAAUGUAGAACAGGGCUGCUUAAUGUUGGGCCUCCUGCAGAUAUUGGCCUACAAUUCCCAUAAUCCCUGUCUAUUGGCCACCGUGGCUGGGGAUUAUGGAAACUAGUCCAAAACCAGCUGGGGGCCCAAAGUUGAGCAGGCCUGAUACAGAAGAUACAUCUGGAGACAGUGAAGGGUAGGAAUCAAGAGAGCUCCUGGCAACAGUUGCUUGGUUUCUCCAAAGCGGGUAACCCUUUUAAAUACCCCUCCCCUUAGCCCAGAUUAGCGGAGCAAGUGCUCCGCUAACCUGGGUUUUCAGAUCAUGUAUUGCCAUGGUGUGGAUUUGCACUGCAUCGACACACAAGGAGACCCGCGUCAGGAGGCUGCAAGCAGCCGCCCGGGAGUCUCUCCAGCAUGUCCUGCAUACUCACGUGGGGCAUCCUGGAAUUUCUGGGGGCUGCAUGGGCCCCAAUCCCCGCCGGCUCCGUGACGGAGAUGGCAGUCAUGUGGGCAGCCAAUCUGGCUGCCCAGGGCUGCAACCUUGAUCUUCUGCAGCCCGCUCUCCCUGCAAACCCCCUUACGGCGGGUCUCACCGAUCGUGAGAAUCGCCUCACUGUCUGACAUCCUAAGGACCAGUGAAUGAGAAAAUCUGAAGAGUUCCAGAUUAAUGUUGCAUGGGUGCCAGUGUGUGUGUGUGCAGAAGGGAAUGUUUUAACUUUUGUAAACCGCCUUGGGGUUGUCUUUUAACGAAAGGUGGUAUAUAAAUGCAAAAAUAAAUAAAAUAAAUAAAUAAAUUUCAACAAUAUACUCAUUUACCUUUUUCAGCUGUCAAUGAUCACUUCCUGGAGAAGGGGAGGUCACUGAAAUUUUCCCUCCCCACUGAGUUCAACUUUGCAGAAGCACUGAUGCUUUGUUAGUAUGGAUAUCAGUCAUUACAUUUCCCUUUUUUACUACCACUGAAUAUUAAGCUUAUAUUUUCAAUGAGACCCUCAUGUAUAUUCAUUAUUUAAACAAUUUUAAUACAAUUAUUCACACAUUUUCAUAGUGGUUUACCUUCCCCCCAAAAAUCAAUUAAAAGAAAAUAAUCACAUGAAUAAACACAACAGUCCCAGUAGUAAAAAGUGUACCACAAAACGAGCAAUCAGCAGUGAAAGUCAAAAACUCUCUGAAAAAGAACAGAUGUUGACUGUCCUCCAAAGGGCAAUGAACCUCUCUUCAGAGAAAGUUCCAGAGCACUGGGGCUGUCACAGAGAAGGCCCUACUCACUGUAGAGGCUAUUUUUGCUUCCACGUAAGAUGGUACCUGGAGCAGAGCCUCCUCAUAAGAUCUUAAAGGUCAGGGGGAUAAUACAGGAAGAUAUGUUCCUUGAAAUAAAGAACUCUAAAAGUCAAAAGUAAACUGCAUUCUAGGCACAAAAGAGGGGAGGUUAAGUUGCCCCCUCUCCCUGCCAAUGUUACCACUACUGAACCAACAGGAUAAGUAUGAUUUAAAGGGAAGGGAUGAGAAAUUGCGGUAUGAGUGGGAGGGCUUACCAAAUUUGAAUUGUCUCAGAAAUAAGCCACGCUAUUCUUAUUUUGUGGGGAAAUACCUCAGCUUAUUUCUGAGACCAUCAAGCACAUGCUAUGGCUUUGGAGGACUCACUAAACAUGGAUCCCUGAUUAUUUUUAGGCAGAGUUCGAAAAACUUUAUUCCGGUUUCCUCAGCUUUUAAGGUUUUAAUACUGUUUUACUAUCAUAUUUUGUUUGUUUUAGUUAUGGUUUUCAUUGGGCUUUUAAUUUAUUGUUUUAUUGUGAUUUUAAAAAGUUAGCUACCUCAUUAGUUCUGAUUAAUAGGCAGGAUAUAAAUAUUUGAAAUAAAAUAAGUCAAUGGGGUGGGCAUGAGUGAUGCCUCAAUCAAAUCUCGUUUUGCCCCGUUUCAUCCACUUGGGACAUGCAAAUUAUCAUUAAAAUAAGGAUGGACAUUUUUCAAUUAUAGAAUAUAUUUCUUGCUAAUUCUGGGAGGUGAAAGAAUUAUUUAACCAAGUCAGCUGAAAGAACUUUUUUAAACCUUCAUGUGCUAUAAGGAAAGAUAUAUUACAAGUCAUGAUUUUAUAACACAUAAAACAACAUUGCUGAAUUUCCACUUCCCUGCCCCCAUAGUUUAUAGCGGCAAGUGCCUAAACCUUUCUAGCCAAAGAAAGCAUUUUCUUAAUGCUUCAGCUAAUAGCUGGAUAUGAAGUUUCAUUCUCAAGGGAAUCAGGAGACAUAUGCUAAACAGAGUUAAAAUGCAAAGGAGUGGACAUUUAUUUGUUGGUAGACAAAGCCUCCAUGUCUGGUUGAGCAGUUUAAGGACUGUUUGCCAUUGCUUUCACGCAACCCUGAAGUCCAUUACUAGUAUUUAAACUGUGGUUGUUUUCACUAUUAGUCAUCAUUUUAUGGGUUGGGCGGAGGUGAAGAUAUAGUUUGAGGCAUAUGCAAUGCUUUACUAGAAAACAGAGAAGAAGCUGCCCGCUUGCUAAAUAUAGAUUGACGCCCUAAUGGAAAAACAUGCUCAGAACAUGUAGGAGGAUGUAGGCUGCCCUCUGGGACGUGGGCAACUUCAAAACAGAAAACGAGAAGGAAGUAAUGGUGUCUUCACAUCUCUUCCAAGGCGUUUCUUUCCUGCUCAAAUUAACAGAAAUAAAAUAUUACUAGAUGGCCCUGCACAGAACAUCUGUGCACUAGGACUUUAUUGUUCUCCUUAAAGCCCCGCCAGAGCCCCUGCUUUAUUGCUCAAUGUCAGCCACCCCACUUGCAGUCACCCCCUCCCCUCCUCCACUCGCUGCCACCCCACUCACAGCCACUAUCUCCCCUCCAGUCCUCCACUUCCCCGCUCUCAGCCACCCCACUCACAGCCACCCCCUCCUCCACUCCCCCACACUCUCAGCUCACCUAACUGCUGCUCACUCCUUCAGCUCCAACCACUGGCCUCUGAUGCCUCGCUGAGUCUCCUCACAAGGAGGAUGGACACGCAGGAGUGGGAGAGAGUAUUGAGGCCCAUCUGUGCAGGCCGGAUGGGAAGCCCCAGCUUUGCCAUCCUCUUCAUGAGGAGACUCGGCGAGGCGUCAGAGGCUGGUGGUUGGAGCUGAGGGAGUGAGUGAUGCCACUGCUCUUUCUUCAGCCCUCCUGCUCCUCCUUGGCAGCAAUUGCCCCUCCACCCACUCCUCAGGCUCCUCCUCCAUGCCCCCCCCGAGUGUUGUCAGAACUCUCGCGAGAUGUGCCACAUACCAUGGGAUUUGUUACAUAUGUCCUAAGGCUUUUAAAUAUAAAGAAGAUGAUGCAACAAUCAGUUUGAAGGAGAAGAGGCAAGAGAGCUAGCAUUCCUCCCCAAAAUGGAAAAUCACUGUCAGUGAACUAAAGUGGAAAGCACUACAAAUUCUGCAUUAUUAGGAUAUGGUCCCAAGCCUUUUAACUAGGUAAUAUUAUUGCUCUGAACAACUGUCUGUUGAUCAUACAUGACCUUUUAGCGCACCAAUGAAAUUCCUGUAUAAUUUGCUGGGGCUGACUAAUGUGUUUCUCUCCAGCUCGUUUAGUAAUGUUCUAUUUAUACAAAGCAAUAGUUGGUGGCAAAGAAGACUGAGAUCUCUAUCAUAAGAAGAUUAGACUGAAAAAAAUUGAUGAGGAGGCAGCUAAAUGGGAGUCCAGAAGAGCCCACAUCUGCCACAGGGACCCUUUUUGGUAAAACACAACAUUACCAUGUUGCCACUGUAGCUGUGCACCAGAAGUAUGCUGAAGAACCUGGCAUCCUGGCAGCUGUGGAAACCAGGCCACUGGAACACUGUAUAUAUAAGCAGCAACGUAUUUUUGUUUAGGAAAAGAAAACAGCAAAGGGAAAAUGAAAACCGGGGUGGGGGGUGGGGGGAGAACCUCUAGCCAAUGCCGGCCACUAAAUACAGAUUUUCAGUUAACUUCAGUGUGUUUAAUUCUAAGAUCUGCAUUUCUGAUUCCAUCCACCCAGUUGAAAAGGGAAAGACCACACCAGAAUAAGCAAUGAGGGGUGGCCAGAUACAUAAUUUAAUGACAGUGUAUGGAAGCCACUACAGAAAACUUGGGGGUAGGCAUGGGGGAAAGAAACAUUCUAUAGUGCGGUUUAGUGGCUGAUUUCUAGAACCAAACCACAAUAUUUUCCAAGCAUGGGCAGCUUUUAUUGAAAUUAAAAUAGAAAACCCAAGGCCAUAUCCCACACAGAAAUUGACAGUUUAGCAAUGACAUGGAGCCUACCAUGUGCAGAUGAGUGAAUGAUGGUGCUUUGGAAAGGAUGGACAAAAAUAGCUGCAGCUCCCAACAGCCACAUGCUGCCAGGUGGGCCAAUCAACCAAAUAUGGCUGUGAAACGGCAACCCAUGGCUGCAUGAGGCAUUUCCAGAUUUCACAGACUCGAAUGUGAUGUAGUUCCAUUUCUACUCACAACCUCCUGCCAACAAAGCUGGGCCAAAAUACCUAGCUGUAGGAGGAGGAGGACGUGGCCCUCCUCACAGUGGUGAACAGAGAUUCUGGUUUCUUCGGGUUGGUUCUGAUGUAACAUUUUCCUCCCCAGAGGUUGACCCAUGGAAAAUGUUAGGUAAAAAUGAAAGAUCCUUUGUAGCAAACAUCGUGAAACAAGGGGUAAGGUCAUCAAGAGCAUUCAAAAACUGCAGUGGGUCCGGAAGGCAACACUUUGUUUUUAAUUGAUGCUUUAAAGUUUGGCGUUACAAUAGCCCAAUGCAGACAUUAUGCCACACAAGUGUACAGAUGUCUGUGCACUCUUACAUGUGUUUGUGUGAAGGUCUGUGCCUGUGUUCACUUUAAAAGGGAACCUGUCUACAGGCUCGUCAUAAUGCAUGGUACAGAUAGAAAGUGUACUUCUGUGCCUGUGUUCAACAUGUGAAUUACUGUACUUGGGUACACUGUACACUUGUACUAGUUUCGAACAUAACAUGUGAACACAUUAUGUCACACUGUAGAGACCAUGUAACACCAAUCCUUAAAGCACUGAACUUGUUAGUUUCCAGACUCAAUAAAAGCUGCUGGUUUUGACCUUCAAAGUCCUAAACACUCUGUAUUUGAGGGAGCACCUUCUCCCACACACUCUCAUACUUUAAAUUGUCCAGGGAGGCCCUGCUUACAGUGCCCAUGCUACAUGAAUUGUGGGAAGAGCUUACCUGGAUUAGGGCCUUUUCGGUGGUGGUGCAGUCAAUCCAAAAUUCUCAAGCUAGCAAGGUCUGACUGGCCAAUUCCUGUCUAUCCUUUAGAACAUUUGUAAAACCCAUUUUUAUUCAGAAGAACUUUCAGCUGCCAAAUUUGAGUUUUCCUUAUUAAUUGCUGAUCCACAUUUGGUGUUUCCCGGGGCUUCUUUUAAUUACUCUAUUCUUUAGUUUGUUUUAAUUUAUUCAUUUAUAAGAAAAAUUGUAUGGUUAUUUUAUGCUUGUAUUUUAAAUCUUUUUAGUCAGAUUCAUGUUUUUGUAUGUUAGAUUAAUAUUUUAAUUGUGUAUUUUUAUAGUCUUGUUUUAAUUUUUCUGUAUGAACCACCUUGAGAUUGUUUUAAUGAAAGGCAGUAUAUAAAUUUAACUAUAAAUAAAAAAUAAGCUGUUGCAAGAA